Molecule: ribosomal RNA, 316 nt
Filed under: uncultured bacterium
Lineage: Bacteria
Description: bacterial SSU rRNA
Rfam family: Bacterial small subunit ribosomal RNA
Source: RNAcentral
AUGACGUCAAGUCAUCAUGGCCCUUACGAGUAGGGCUACACACGUGCUACAAUGGCAUAUACAAAGAGAAGCGACCUCGCGAGAGCAAGCGGACCUCAUAAAGUAUGUCGUAGUCCGGAUUGGAGUCUGCAACUCGACUCCAUGAAGUCGGAAUCGCUAGUAAUCGUGGAUCAGAAUGCCACGGUGAAUACGUUCCCGGUCCUUGUACACACCGCCCGUCACACCAUGGGAGUGGGUUGCAAAAGAAGUAGGUAGCCUAACCUCCGGGAGGGCGCUUACCACUGUGUGAUUCAUGACUGGGGUGAAGUCGUAACAA